GAUGAACGCUGGCGGCGUGCCUAAUACAUGCAAGUCGAGCGAACGGACGAGAAGGUUGCUUCUCUGAUGUUAGCGGCGGACGGGUGAGUAACACGUGGAUAACCUACCUAUAAGACUGGGAUAACUUCGGGAAACCGUAGCUAAUACCGGAUAAUAUUUUGAACCGCAUGGUUCAAAAGUGAAAGACGGUCUUGCUGUCACUUGUAGAUGGAUCCGCGCUGCAUUAGCUAGGUGGUAAGGUAACGGCUUACCAAGGCAACGAUGCAUAGCCGACCUGAGAGGGUGAUCGGCCACACUGGAACUGAGACACGGUCCAGACUCCUACGGGAGGCAGCAGUAGGGAAUCUUCGGCAAUGGGCGAAAGCCUGACGGAGCAACGCCGCGUGAGUGAUGAAGGUCUUCGGAUCGUAAAACUCUGUUAUUAGGGAAGAACAUAUGUGGAAGUAACUGUGCACAUCUUGACGGUACCUAAUCAGAAAGCCACGGCUAACUACGUG
Molecule: ribosomal RNA, 497 nt
Filed under: uncultured bacterium
Lineage: Bacteria
Description: partial 16S ribosomal RNA
Rfam family: Bacterial small subunit ribosomal RNA
Source: RNAcentral